Molecule: long non-coding RNA, 14686 nt
Filed under: Gossypium barbadense (sea-island cotton)
Lineage: Eukaryota; Viridiplantae; Streptophyta; Magnoliopsida; Malvales; Malvaceae
Description: long non-coding RNA (GBAR_LNC018986)
Source: RNAcentral
AGCCUUUGACAAGAGCUUCAGGAAUGAGAUCAAGUUUCUAACAGAAAUACGACAUCGAAGCAUCGUAAAGCUUCAUGGGUUUUGUCUACACCGACGGUCCAUGUUUUUGAUCUAUGAGUACAUGGAAAAAGGGAGUUUGUUCUGCAACCUAAGAGAUAAAGUGGAAGCUGUGGAAAUGGAUUGGACAAAAAGAGUGGAGAUCAUCAAGGGCAUAGCGCAUGCUUUGUCUUACUUGCACUAUGAUUGCAGCCCUCCAAUAGUUCAUCGAGACAUAUCAAGUAACAAUGUUCUUUUAAACUCGAGCUUUGAGGCAUUUGUAGCUGACUUUGGGACUGCUAAAAUGUUGGAUCUUGAAUCAUCCAAUCAGACCAUUAUUGUGGGCACAUGUGGUUAUGUAGCUCCAGGUGAUUUUCUCUGCUUCGUUUGAUGACAUUUUCUUCGGAAUUUAUAAAAUUAAUUGAACAUAUAAAUGAUAUUCUUUUUUAUCUGGUUUUUCGUAUGCAGAACUUGCAUAUACCUUGACUGUCAACGAAAAAUGUGAUGUCUAUAGUUUUGGAGUGGUGGCACUGGAAACGUUAAUGGGAAAGCAUCCUGAAGAAUUGUUAUCAUGGUUGUCACCACCAACUUCUUUGAUGAAUAUGAGGCUGAUUGAUGUGCUAGACAACCGUUUACCACUUCCGACAAGUCAAUUAGUUGCACAAAAUCUUGUUCGCAUUGCUACUUUGGCAUUCGCCUGCCUAAAUCCGCAACCUAAGUCUCGACCAACGAUGAAAGAAGUGUGCGAAGAGUUUCUUUGUGGCCAAACAUCCUUGGGAGUUCCCCUUCGGAUGAUCUCUUUGUUACAACUUGUGAACUGUGAAAUGCAUAUUGGAGGCAAAACUGGAACUUGCAAUGUUUAAACUCCAUGUGGUUGUUGUUGAUUAGAUAUUGUUUAUCAUGCUUUGAUGAUUUGUUUGUAAACCAUAUCCUGUGUUAUAUAUGGUGGAAUGAAUUGCAAUGUUCAACAAAUUUGUUUAUUUGAUUGUUUUACAUAACAUAAAUUCGACAAUUUGAUAUCCAAAUAUUCAAACACCGUCCUGAUAGCUUCCUUCAAUUUCGCGCUUCUUUCAAGCAUGAAAGACCAACUCAAAGGAUAAAUAAAAUAUAAGUAAAUUAAUGGUGAAUUAAAGCAACAAAAUGCAAUCAAUACAUACAUUAAGAAUUCACCUGAACUAACUAUAAUUCAUUAAACGAUCUCUCCACUUAUGUAAUGGAAGUGAGAUUACACAGAUCUGGGCUACGUAACAUCCAAACUUAAAAUGCAACAAAAGGGGUCAAAAUGGAGCCAGCACAAAUUCCAACAUUUUUUUUCCAUAUCAAGCACAUUAGGAUUUAUUGCUUGGUAGAGUUAAAAAUUGAAAUGAAAGAAAAUAAACAUUUAAAAAUGCAUAAUUUUGAACUAGCAUACACCUCUCUCAUAUCCUUUCUUUCCAUCAUUCCAAUUUGGAAGUAUCGGUUUUAAUACAUUAGGAUAAAAAAAUGGUUCUUUCCUCCCACUUUUCUUCCAUAUCAAGCACAUUCAAAUUAAAAUAUUUAUUUAAUUUUUAUACAUCCUAAAAUGUACCAAUAGAAUUAGAACAUUAAUAUACAUAUCAAUUUAAAAAAAUUAAUAAAAAAAUUAAUUUUUAAUAUUUUUAAGCUUCAUAUAAUUAAGAAAAAAAAUUGUCUUGAAUGAAUCUAGACAUAGACUUAACUUGUAAAUGGUUUUUAUUAAUUUUUAAUUUUUUGAAAUUUAUUUAAUAACUUUAUAAUUUUGAAUUUUUUUUACAAAUUUAUAAAAUUUUAAAAAAUUAAUUUUUUUUAAAUUUUUUUAAUUUAAAAAAGUUUUAAGCUUCGAAACGAAUGAUCUUGGUACUGCAACAUCAGCAACUAUUCCUUUUAAAAAUUAAAUAUUCCUUUUAAUUUUUAUUUUUUUGACAUGACAGUUGAAAUGAUACCGGCACAUCAACAACUAUCACUAACAUGAAGCACCAUGUUAGCGUCGUUAAUGGUUACGUCAAUAUUGUAACGGUCAACAUUAGUUAAAGGGCCUAUUUGGUCAAUUUUGUUAGUUAAGUGGCUCAAUUGGGUGCAAAAAUUUCGUAGGGGUUUAAUUAAUUUUUUUGAAAGAGUUUGAGGACCAAAAAUACCAUUAAGCCCUUCUUUAACUAUUGAUAUAUCCUUUUCUAUGUAUCGGUAAACAUUAGUCAAAGGGCCUAUUUGACCAAUUUAUUAGUUCAGUGGCUCAAUUGGGUGUAAAAAGUUCACAGUGACUUAAUUGAUUUUUUUUUAAAAGUUUGCUGAGCAAAAAUACCAUUAAGCCCUUCUUUAACUAUUGAUAUGUCUUUUUUAAUUAAUUUUACAUUAGCGCGUAGUACAGGCACACAAUGUAUGGGGUGUUUCCAUGUAUACAUGUAGAGUGUAUUUUGAUACCACAAACGAAUUAGAUGAAAAUGUGAUUAUUAAGGUUGUAAUAUCACUUUCUAGUAAUUACAAAGAGUUAUAAGUUUUUAGAUGCAUUUGACUGAUAGAGUAUAAUUAUAUUGUAAUUUUUUUUAUCUUAUUUAGUAUAGUAUAAAUUGUAAUUACACAUUUACAAAUUUUAAAUUUUUUAAAAGGUAUUAAUUACUAUAAAUAGUUAUCAAUAAUGCUUGAGAAAAAAAAUUCUAAACAAGUAACAUAAAUUAAAAUCAAAUCAUUUUAUCUUAGUCUAAGAAAGUAACCGACAACACGAUUACCAAUAAAAAAGUACAAGAAAAAUAAACAUUUUAUUAUUGCUCUAGCAUUCCAUGUUUGUCGGGUUAUUCCUUUUCUGACAUUUAACAUAUACUUCUUAUAAUCAUCUAUUAGUCCUUGACCAAUUUCUUCAUUGUUGAUAGAAGGUACAACAAUGGAGAGGAGUAAGGAGGAGGUAAGGUGGAGUGAGUGGUGGUUUUGUGGAGGCUGGUUCACUUAAAGAGGCGAAGAGUUGGAAAGGAACAAGAGGAUAGGCUGAUUGUUGAAAGAUGAGAUGGUUGCUAAGAGUAACUUUAAGGGUUGGAAAAUCAAUCCCUUCUUCAUCGUUGAAAGGUAUUUAUAAGAGAAGUCCUCUUGUCCAUUUGUGUGACAUGGCAGGAUAAGUACUCAGUCCCGCCAAGUGUGUAAAGGAUAUUCAUGAACGUGAAUGAUAUUUUGAAUCACGCUUCAAAUACAGCUCUAACAAAUAUUUAUGAAAAAUGGGUCUCAAGCCUAUGUGGCCGGGCGUGUCGUGUCGACAGUUCACUUAUAAUAUGUUUAAUAGUAAACCAACUUUAUAACAUUUUUAUAAUAUUUCGAUAACUAUUAUUUCAUGCAAAUUAGAUAAAAGAUAAUAUAAAUUUUAUAAUAUAACAUUUAUCAACAAUGCUUUUAUAAAGUGUUGAAUAACUUUUAUGACGCAUAUAUGAAAGCGCUCAAAUACGUGGCCAUACAAGAAUAGUAUAAACAUUAUAAUACAUGCUUUAUAAGCAUAAUUUGCUAGGUCAAAAUUUGAACGAAAUAUUUGGACUUGUGUGUCUAAUAGCAAAGCAAUUUUGACCCAAUAAGAAAUAUAUAAUUAUAUUUUAAAAAAUAUAAAAUAUAUGUCCUAAAAUUAAAAUAUUUUCUUAUUAUUGUAUUAAAAUAAUUUUUAUAAAUUUGUAUAAAAAUAAUAUCUUAAAUCAUGUACGUUUGUUUGAAAAAUUUUAAGGUAAUUAGUAAUUGAUUGUAAUUACUCUAACUCUCAACCCCUAAGAAUUAUAAUUGAGGUGCUAUAAUUACUUUCAAUUUAGUGGAUCCAUCAACUAUAAUGGUUAAUCAAACAUGUUAUACCUUUAUAAUCGCAAAUAAUUACACUCAAUUUUAAUAAUUACUAGGUGACUUUUAAAACAUCACACUAACAAAUUUCUAAUGUCUUGUGGAGAACUUCUUUGCCUUUUUUUUUUUUUUUAUGAUUGUGAACAAAAUUUUGGUUUAACUACGAAGGAAGAUUUUUCAAAAUCAUAUAUACUUUGGGGUACAAGUUAAACUGAUUUUUUUUUUCAAAACAAUUGCAAAGAAAAUUCAUGAAAUUAAGUUGUCUUCAAAUAAUUAAUUCACAUUGGAAUUUUCAAAUAAGAUGUCACAUUAAUAAUAUUUCAAUCAUUAAAAUAUUGUAUAACACAUUUUGCCUUAUACAAGAAACUAUGAAAAUACUAAAACUUAAUCCAGUUUAAUCUGCUCAAGGAAAUGACUUUAACACUGAGCUAAUUCAAUUAAUCCACUUAAAUUAAUUAUAUUGUAGUAAGAUUUUAAUGUGACAUGUUUAAUUUUUUUUUAAUUCAAGUAAUUUUACUUGAUUCAACUUGACUCAAAUUUCAUUUCACUCAUUCAAUUUAAAAAAAAAUUCAAAUUAAAUUAAAAUAAUAAAAUAAGACUCGAUUCGAUCCAAUGAUCAGCCUUAACUUUUACAUAAUUGAUACUAACAACAACAUGAAAAUAGAUACUCACCUUUUCUAAUCACUAUGCAGGAGCGAAAUUUCCAUGAAAAAAAAAGUAUUGCGUAUGGAAAAGUAAGUUCCAUGACAUCGACUGAAGCAAGGACAACAACUGAAUUUAUAUAUAUAUAUAUAUAUUUUGUGCGAGUAGGGAGAAAAUACAAGAAAGAACAAACCCCUUUGACUAGUUAACCUAUGCAGUGUGCGGUUAAGUGAGGAAUAAAUAGAGCAGGGUUUUAACCAACUUUUGGUUAAUUACCACAUAAAUCUUUCAUACUUAUUGAAUUAUUUAAUAUAGCCCCUCUCAUUUUAAUUUCUAAAUUUUAUUAUGGUGUGUGACCCAUUAAACUUCUAAUUAUGUUGGUAAUAAAUAUAUUCUAUUUCAAUUAAAUUUCUAAUUAUGUUGAAUUAUUAACCCUGAUUAUCUCCCUUCACUAAGGACUUGCAGUUAUACAAGUCAAGAACAAAAAAGAUAUGUUCCCUCAUAUCACUUGAGGUGAUGAGUCUUUUCUGAGCCACUUCAUCACCUUCAUAUGUCAUAUCAUAUCUAAAACAUCCUACUUUAAGCAUCUAUCUAUAACAGGACCAAUUAGCCCGGCCUGCACAAACCAAAAAUAAACUAUUUAACCCAAUGUCUACAAUCCAGUUUUUACAAACCCAAAUAAUAUCAAAACCAGCCCACUAAACCUAAGGCCCAAUAACCCAAAUACCUAAUUCAACGAAACCCUAAAAUCUAGUAGCCUCCAACACAGCAUCCAGCUGCCGCACAACUCUGAACCAGCCCUCCUCCAAGCACGCCACGCCUUGCGCGCCGCACCUCCAUGUUCGUACCUGUAAAAGGACUAGGAGAGUCAAAUAGCAACAAAAACAGUGUAAAAGUAGGGAAAAUAGGAAAUUUCGGGCUAUAAAAAGGGCCCCGAAUUUAUGUAUUUUACACACACGAAUGAAUCAAAAGAAAAUGGGAAAAAAACAAUUCAAAUACCAGUCUUUCUCAAAGGUAGUUUUUUUUUUUAUUUUUUUCGACUUAUUUAUUUAUUUAUUUGUUUUAAAGAAAACGAAAGUAAAAAGGUUAAAAAUCGUACCUUUAUUGCGGAGAGGUGCCGAUUCCGAUGAAAAUCGGUGUUCCAUGGGUCCAGGGGCUGUAAAAACCCAAAAAAUGGUGACUUUUCAUUUUCUGGCCACCGCGGGCCGGCAGCCGCCGCGGUGGUGUGAUGACCGGACAUUGGCCGGAGAGGGGGAGUUGAGAGAGAGUUGAGAGGGGGGUUGAGAGGUUUGAAGGUUUUUUAAAAAACAGAGGCUGAAAUGAAAGUUUAAAAAAUUUUUGGGCUUAAAUACCCAUAUCAAACGGCGCCGUUUUGAGUUUGAAGUUCAAAGGACAAAACGACGCCGUUUUGACCUUUAUUCCCCUCUGACCCGCGCGGUGACCCAACCCGGGAAGGAUCCGCGUGUUUUCUAUUAGUGGGUUAUUUGCGUUUUAAGUCCUUCCCCAUUUUUGAUCUGUUUCAAUUUUGCCUUUUUUGCACUUUUUCUUUUACUUUUAAAUUGGACUUCAAAUUUUUUUUGCUAUGCAAUUUAGUCCCUGGCACGCUAAUCCUCUGGGAAGUGACGCGUGUCCAGGAAUCAGGCUUAUUGCCCAUUUAGCCCUCCUUUCUUCGCGUGUGUUUCAUUUUGAUCUUAUUUCGAUCUUUUAGCAUUAAUUUUAUUUACAAAUCUUACCUUUAAUGUCAUUGUGAUUUCAAUGUAGUCCCCUGGUUAAUUUUUUUAUAUAUUUUAUUAUUCUUAUACCCGUUAUUUAUUUUUAUAUUUAAGCUUUAAUAUUUCCUCUAUUAAUUUAUUUAUUUCUUACUUUUAUAAUUCAUAAAAUUACUUCUACAUACAUAUGAUUUGUUCUAUUAUCACAUUUUAUAUUAUUAUCAUUAUUACUACUAUUAUUAGUAUUAUUAUUAUUUUCAUAUAUCAAUUUACUUAACCUUUUUUAUAUACAUUAUUUUAUCCUAUUAUGUGCUAGUACUUUAAGUUUUUCUACAUUAUUAUUAUAUAUUAUUAUCUAAUCUCAUAAUAUAUUAGGGUAUAUUUUUUAAGAUCCAAUAUGACCUAAAUAUUUUUAAGGGUUUUACUUUAUAAUACAUUUUUUAAAAAUUUAUUUGCAUAUACUUCCAUGCUUUUAAAUCUAUAUGUAAUAUUUUUAUAUUCCACUUAUUUGAUUUUCUUCUUAUGCAACAUUUAAUUUAAAAUCCAUGUGUAUAUUAUUAUAUUUUUUUUAAUUCAAUUUUUGAUAUUUCAAGAUUUCAUGUAUAUUAUUUAUUUUAAUUUUUCUUUUUUACGUAUAAGUUAUUAUUCAUACAUUGUUGAUUUCAAAUGUUCUAUCCUUCAUGCUAUUCUUUUUAUUUUGUUUGGUGUUUCUUUAAUUAAUUUUCAAUUCAUUUAGUUUUCUAAUAUUGAUGUGGGUAUUUGUAUAAUAUGUGAUAUGAAAUUAUGGUACUCAUGUGCCGUGUAUUGUUUACUUGUCCUUAUUGAUUGUUUGUUAUUCACUAACGUAUAUUUUAGCUUACAAACUAUCAUUUCAUGUUAUAUAUCAUUAUCCUAUUGCGUUUUAUUUGUAAAAAAGGGAUUAUGUUUCAUUAAGAAAUUAAAAUCAUUUUAUCUGUAAGUUUUCAAAAUAUUCGGCGUUCAAGAUUCUCGAGGAGAUUGUGUCCUAACUUACUGGGCUUCAAUUUUCUCCGUUGAAUUUAAAUAGCCGAGUACCCUCUUUUCAAUAGAAUCAUAAACAUUUCAGGAUUAAAACUUACUCUCGGGAAUUCAAAGAGUUGUGUCCUAACUCACAGGAUAAGACAUUUUGUUAUCUCGAGACAAGAUUUUUUUUUAAAACAAAAGCAAAUUAGUGUGUGGUCGUUAAAAUUUCAAAGAAUCGACCCCAACUUACGAGGUUUCAAUUUCUUCAUAGAAACAAGAUGACCAAACUUUUUUUUAGUUUUCAAAUUAAUAAAUUUCAAUAAAGAUUUUAAAAGGAGAAUUGUUUUUUAAUCUUUUUCAUUCGACCUUAAGACAUUAAAUAAUUAAUUUGGUACUAAUUUUGCGCGUUACGAGGGUGCUAAUCCUUCCUCGUACGUAACUGACUCCCGAACCCUUUUUUUCUAAAACUCGUAGACCGAAAUCGUUUUUCAAGUGAUCCAAUCACACUUCAACAAAAGAUUGGUGGCUACUCCAAUUUUCAUUUUUAAGUCGACAACUAAUUUUUGUUUUUAAAAAAUGGUUUCGACACGAUCAAUAUGAAUCCAUUUGGUGAUGAAUCAAAGUAUGACGGUCAACAUACAAGGAGAGUCUAUGUGUCAAGUCUAAGGAUUAUUUAUACUACCAAUACAGGGAGUAUUUCUAUAAACACUAAGGUAUUUUUCACCCUUUAACCUUAUAUUAAUAUUUGUUACUUAUAUGAAAAUUUAAGUUUUAAAUAAUUUUUCCGACUAAAUUAAUAUUAAAUUAAUUUGUAACACCAAUUUAAUAAAAUAUAUUAAACAAGCAUAGAUAUAAUUUCAUUAAAAUCUGUCAAUACAAAAAGUACCAUUAAUUUCUCUGAAGUCCCCACUUUUUGGGUCUUAAUGGGUGAGAAAUUUCUUAGAUAGAAACUGAAGACGAUAUUUAAAAGUAAAGGGGACGUUAAAACCCAAGUCUUUGGAAAAUAAAUUGCAUCACGACUGAACCGAAAAUUCCGUUGACUGAUAAUUAGGCACUUAAUGGAAAAGUAAGUCCACAAAAUAAUAGAAAAGGCUUGGGGCCACAAUUAAUCUGUACUCUAAUAUGUCUCGUAUAUAAUACUAUAAGGAUAAUGCUUAUUUACUAUUAUCUUUUCAAAAUAAAUGAAAUAUUUUGUUAUGGGAGUGAUUAAAUUAAAACCAAGGAGGUAUCAUUAUAAAGAAAUAUGGACCAUCAGAAACAAAAAAAGCAAAGAUUCUAUCCUUUUAUUAUAUAUUAUUGAUACUAACAACAUAGAAAUUUCCAUGAGAAAGAAAGCACGACACAUGAAGUAAAUUACAUGACAUCGACUGAAGCAAUGAUAACAACUGUCCCCUACAACAAUUGCAACAAGACCUUGACUCCUAUAAUCACUUUCCUUAAAUUCUUCUCUUUGGAAACUAUAACAUAUAUGCUACUACUGAACCUUUAGCAAACAAUUAAGCUUAGGUAAUUCCACAUGGCCUCAUCCUCAACCUUUUCCAUUAUUUUAGGGAUACUGCAGGCUACAAUCUUUCUAAUUUCCAUUGCCAGAACUGUGACAGUAGCAGAUCCAUCGCCUUUGGCGUCCGAAGCCAUAGCUACGGUAGAAAGUGGGUGGUGGUGCAACUAUAGCAACAAUGCUUCAGAACGUUGCCAGUGGCCAGGUAUAUCAUGCAACACUGCUCGAAGCAUCAUCCAAAUUGACAUUUCUGAUGCGCCCAAUAUUGAGGUUGGAGAUAGAUUUGGGAAAUUGAACUUCUCUUCAUUUCCAAAUCUUGUCCUUCUUGAUCUUAGUGAUCGUCAACUUGGUGGAAAAAUCCCGCAUCAGAUAGGUAAUCUAUCAGCAUUGAAGCACCUUGACUUGUCCCAUUGUGGUUUAUCCGGUGAGUUACCUCCUUCUCUAGGAAACCUAACCCAAUUAGAGUACCUUGACCUUUCCUAUAAUUAUAAUAUUAACGGUUCCAUCCCUCCACAACUAGGGAAUCUAGUGAACCUUGUCAGUUUAAAUUUGAGUUGGACCAGUCUUAGUGGAAACAUUCCACCCUUUCUUGGGCUAUUGGCCAACCUUAGGCAUCUACUUUUGGAUAGGUUUCAAUUUGAUGAUGGUAAUAAUACAAUCCCUCAAAAUUUGUGGAAUUUGAGGGGUCUUGAGACUUUAAGCCUAAGUCGUUGUGGAAUUGUUGGUCCAAUCCCUUCUGCUUUGGGUCAGUUAUUAAAUCUCAAAUAUUUACGUCUAGGGGGAAACAAAAUUAAUGGAUCUAUCCCAUUUGAAGUCGGAUUUCUAUCAAACUUGACAUAUUUGUAUCUCUACAACAACAAACUGGUUGGUUCAAUCCCUUCUGCUUUGGGUCAGUUAUUAAAUCUCAAAUCUUUAUUUCUUUCGGGCAACAAAAUGAAUGGAUCUAUUCCAUCUGAAGUUGGAUUCUUAUCUAACUUAACUUAUUUUUAUGCCUCCAACAACAGACUGGUUGGUUUAAUACCUUUCUCCUUGUACCAAUUAACCAAUUUGGAAAAUUUGUCCCUUGAUAAUAACCAGCUUGAAGGUUCCAUCCCUCAGAAUAUUGAAAAGUUGAUGAACAUCAAGGUUUUAAGCAUCACUAAUAAUAGUUUUACUGGUCAUAUCCCCCUAGCUUUGUGUCGUUUGACAAAUUUGGAAUAUAUUGGCCUUGGCAACAAUCAAAUCAGUGGUUCAAUCCCAUCUUGUAUUGGCAAUUUAUCCAAUUUGUAUACCUUAGAACUUGAUUCAAAUCUAUUAAAAGGUCCUAUCCCUGAAGAAAUUGGUAGGCUUUUUCACCUAUCAAAUUUAAACCUCAGCUUCAACCAACUCUCAGGUAGUGUCCCUAUCUUGUCUGCCACUAAGCUUCGUAUUAUCGAUGCUGGAAAUAACUGUAACAAGAUUUCUCCCGAUCCAUUUGAAGGCAACAGUCAUCUAUCACCCUAUAUGUGUCCUUCUCCAGUAACCAACAAAGCCAACAGCAGUACAAUUCUUUACUAUAUCAACAUAUUCCUCCCUAUUGCCAUCUUCUUCACAUUCUCCAUUUUGGGAUAUUUUCUAUUUUCACGAUUUAAGCUCAAGAAUAACCGUGUCGGUGUACAACCGACGAAGAAUGGGGAUUUGUGUUCCAUAUGGAACUAUGAUGGAAAGAUAGCAUACGAGGAUAUUGUUGCAGCAACAGAGGAUUUCGACUUUCGAUACUGUAUAGGAGUUGGUGGUUAUGGAAGUGUUUACAGAGCACAACUACCUUGUGGUAAAGUAGUUGCCUUGAAGAAACUUCAUCGUUUAGAAGAUGAAAAUCCAGCCUUUGACAAGAGCUUCAGGAAUGAGAUCAAGUUUCUAACAGAAAUACGACAUCGAAGCAUCGUAAAGCUUCAUGGGUUUUGUCUACACCGACGGUCCAUGUUUUUGAUCUACGAGUACAUGGAAAAAGGGAGUUUGUUCUGCAACCUAAGAGAUGAAGUGGAAGCUGUGGAAAUGGAUUGGACAAAAAGAGUGGAGAUCAUCAAGGGCAUAGCGCAUGCUUUGUCUUACUUGCACUAUGAUUGCAGCCCUCCAAUAGUUCAUCGAGACAUAUCAAGUAACAAUGUUCUUUUAAACUCGAGCUUUGAGGCCUUUGUAGCUGACUUUGGGACUGCUAAAAUGUUGGAUCUUGAAUCAUCCAAUCAGACCAUUAUUGUGGGCACAUGUGGUUAUGUAGCUCCAGGUGGUUUUCUUUGCUUCGUUUGAUGACAUUUUCUUCGGAAUUUAUAAAAUUAAUUGAACAUAUAAAUGAUUUUCUUUUUUAUCUGGUUUUUGGUAUGCAGAACUUGCAUAUACGUUGGUUGUCACCGAAAAAUGUGAUGUCUAUAUUUUUGGAGUGGUAGCACUGGAAACGUUAAUGGGAAAGCAUCCCGAAGAAUUGUUAUCAUGGUUGUCAUCACCAACUUCUUUGGUAAAUAUGAGGCUGAUUGAUGUGCUAGACAACCGUUUACCACUUCCGACAAGUCAAUUAGUUGCACAAAAUCUUGUUCGCAUUGCUACUUUGGCAUUCGCCUGCCUAAAUCCGCAACCUAAGUCUCGACCAACGAUGAAAAAAGUGUGCGAAGAGUUUCUUUGUGGUCAAACAUCCUUGGGAGUUCCCCUUCGGAUGAUCUCUUUGUUACAACUUGUGAACUGUGAAAUGCAUAUUGGAGGCAAAACUGGAACUUGUAAUGUUUAAACUCCAUGUGGCUGUUCUUGAUUAGAUAUUGUUUAUCAUGCUUUGAUGAUUUGUUUGUAAACCAUAUCCUGUGUUAUAUAUGGUGGAAUGAAUUGCAAUGUUCAAUAAAUUUGUUUAUUUGAUUGUUUUACAUAACAUAAAUUCGACAAUUUGAUCCAAAUAUUCAAACACCAUCCUAAUAGCUUCCUUCAAUUUCGUGCUUCUUAGAUAAAUAAAAUAUAAGUAAAUUAAUGGUGAAUUAAAGCAACAAAAUGCAACCAAUACAUUAAGAAUUUACCUGAACUAACUAUAAUUCAUUAAACAAUCUCUCCACUUAUGUAAUGGAAGUGAGAUUUCACAGAUCUGGGCUAGGUAACAUCCAAACUUAAAAAGCAACCAAAGGGGUCAAAAUGGAGCCAGCACAAAUUCCAACAUUUGUUUUUUUCCAUAUCAAGCACAUUAAGAUUUAUUGCUUGGUAGAGUUAAAAAUUGAAAUGAAAGAAAAUAAACAUUUAAAAAUGCAUAAUUUUGAACUAAUAUACACCUCUCUCUCAUUUUCUUUCUUUUCAUCAUUCUAAUUUGGAAGUAUCGGUUUUUAUACAUUACGAUGGAAAAUGAUUCUUUCCUCUCACUUUUCUUCCAUAUCAAGCACAUUCAAAUUAAAAUAUUUAUUUAAUUUUUAUACAUCGUAAAAUGUACCAAUAGAAUUAGAACAUUAAUACACAUAUCAAUUUUAAAAAAAAGAUUAAUUUUUAAUAUUUUUAAGCUUCGUAUAAUUUAGAAAAAAAUUGUCUUGAAUGAAUCUAGACAUAGACUUAACUUGUAAAUGGUUUUUAUUAAUUUUUAAUUUUUUGAACUUUAUUUAAUAUUUUUAUAAUUUUGAAUAUUUUUUUACAAAUUUAUAAAAUUUUAAAAAAUAAAUUUUUUUAAAUAUUUUUUUAAUUUAAAAAAAUUUUAAGCUUCGAAACGAAUGAACUUGGUACUGCAACAUCAGCAACUAUUCCUUUUAAAAAUUAAAUAUUCCUUUUAAUUUUUAUUUUUUAAAAUAAAUUUUUUUAUUUUUGUUGACAUGGUAGUUGAAAUGGUAAUGGCACAUCAACAACUAUCACUGACAUGAAGCAUCAUGUUAGCGUCGUUAAUGAUUAUGUCAACAUUGCAAUGGUCAACAUUAUUCAAAGGGUCUAUUUGGUCAAUUUUGUUAGUUUAGUGGCUCAAUUGGGUGCAAAAAGUUCGUAGAGAUUUAAUUAAUUUUUUUGAAAAAGUUCGAGGACCAAAAAUAGCAUUAAACCCUUCUUUAACUAUUGAUAUAUCCUUUUUUAUGUAUAGGUCAACGGCCUAUUUGACCAAUUUCCUUUAUUUUAGGGAUACUGCAAACUACCAUCUUUCUAAUUUCCAUUGCCAGAACUAUGACAGUAGUAGAUCCAUCGCCUUUGGCGUCCGAAGCCAUAGCUAUGGUAGAAAGUGGGUGGUGGAGUAACUAUAGCAACAAUGCUUCAGAACGUUGCCAGUGGCCAGGUAUAUCAUGCAACACUGCUCGAAGCAUCAUCCAAAUUAACUUAUCUUAUGCAUUCCUUAUCGAGGUUGGAGAUAGAUUUGGGAAAUUGAAUUUCUCUUCGUUUCCAAAUCUUGUCCUUCUUGAUCUUAGUCAUCGUCAACUUAGUGGAAAAAUCCUGUAUCAGAGAGGUUAUCUAUCAGCAUUGAAGCACCUUGACCUUUCCUUUUGUGGUUUUUCCGGUGAGUUACCUCCUCCUCUAGGAAACCUAACCCAAUUAGAAUUCCUUGACAUUUCCUAUAAUUAUAACAUUAACGGCUCCAUCCCUCCACAACUAGUGAAUCUAGUGAACCUUGUCAGUUUAAAUUUGAGUAGAACCGGUCUUAGUGGAAACAUUCCACCGUUCCUUGGGCUUUUGACCGACCUUAGGCAUCUACUUUUGGAUAGGUAUCAGUUUGAUGAUGGUAAGAAUACAAUCCCCCAAAAUUUGUGGAAUUUGAGGGGUCUUGAGACUUUGAGCCUAAAUGGUUGUGGAAUUGUGGGUCCAAUCCCUUCUGCUUUGGGUCAGUUAAUAAAUCUCAAAUAUUUGGGUCUAUUGGAAAACAAAAUUAAUGGAUCUAUUCCAUCUGAAGUUGGAUUCUUAUCAAACUGAUUUUUGAUCUCUUCGACAACAGACUGGUUGGUUCAAUACCUUUUUCCUUGUACCCAUUAACUAAUAUGGAAAUUUUGUCCCUUGGUAAUAACCAGCUUGAAGGUUCCAUCCCUUGGAAUAUUGAAAAUUCGAAGAACAUCAAGAUUUUAAGCAUCAUUAAUAAUAGUUUUUCUGGUCGUAUCCCCCCAGCUUUGUGUCGUUUGACAAAUUUGGAAUAUAUUGACCUUGGCAAAAAUCAAAUCAGUGGUUUAAUCCCAUCUUGUUUUGGCAAUUUAUCCAAUUCGGAUACCUUAGAACUUGAUUCAAAUCUAUUAAAAGGUCCUAUCCCUGAAGAAAUUGGUAGGCUUUUUCACCUAUCAAGUUUAAACCUCAGCUUCAAGCAACUCUCAGGUAGUGUCCGUAUCUUGUUUGCCACUAAGCUUCGAAUUAUCAUGCUGGAAUUAACUGUAACAAGAUUUCUACCGAUCCAUUUGAAGGCAAUAGUCAUCUAUCACCCUAUAUGUGUCCUUCUCCAGUAACCAACAAAGCCAACAGCAGUACAAUUCUUUACUAUAUCAACAUAUUCCUCCCUAUUGCCAUCUUCUUCACAUUCUCCAUUUUGGGAUAUUUUCUAUUUUCACGAUUUAACCUCAAGAAUAACCGUGUCGGUGUACAACCGACGAAGAAUGGGGAUUUGUGUUCCAUAUGGAACUACGAUGGAAAGAUAGCAUACGAGGAUAUUGUUGCAGCAACAGAGGAUUUCGACUUUCGAUACUGUAUAGGAGUUGGUGGUGAUGGAAGUGUUUACAGAGCACAACUACCUUGUGGUAAAGUAGUUGCCUUGAAGAAACUUCAUCGUUUAGAAGCUGAAAAUCCAGCCUUUGACAAGAGCUUCAGGAAUGAGAUCAAGUUUCUAACAGAAAUACGACAUCGAAGCAUCGUAAAGCUUCAUGGGUUUUGUCUACACCGACGGUCCAUGUUUUUGAUCUAUGAGUACAUGGAAAGAGGGAGUUUGUUCUGCAACCUAAGAGAUGAAGUGGAAGCUAUGGAAAUGGAUUGGACAAAAAGAGUGGAGAUCAUCAAGGGCAUAGCGCAUGCUUUGUCUUACUUGCACUAUGAUUGCAGCCCUCCAAUAGUUCAUCGAGACAUAUCAAGUAACAAUGUUCUUUUAAACUCGAGCUUUGAG